Musa acuminata AAA Group (dessert banana) is the source of this 3903-nucleotide long non-coding RNA. RefSeq lists it as uncharacterized. NCBI's taxonomy places the organism in Eukaryota, Viridiplantae, Streptophyta, Magnoliopsida, Zingiberales, Musaceae. The transcript is spliced from 5 exons. The record is from RefSeq and is a predicted model, not a curated record.
AUGAUUGGCGAGAUGGGAGCUUCUUGUUGAGGUUGGUGAGGCGUCGGUCACUUGCAGGAGCACGGAAAGCCGCUGGAUCGGGCGGGCGUUGCAGCACGAGAGACGGUCCAAAACACGGCCGAACUGAUGUCGGUGUGCACGGUGACACGCUGCUGUCUACUUGGAUCCGGUGGUUCCUCGGUCAUGUGCUGAGGCUGUCCCCGCACCGACUCACGUCGUCUGCUGCAUCGAGUCAUCCUCGCCACGGCGUCCAUCACUUCGCCUGCUUGACUAGUUUUUCUUGGGAAGGAGAUCGGGAUGAGGAGAAGAAGGGCGUUGCUGCUUGAUGGCGAUGGCUGACCUGCUUGUCGCCAGUCGACGCUCGCCUGCAAUCAAAGGCAGCAGCGAGCCAGCAACAUCGCUCCAGAUUGUCGCCAUGUAUUACUGCAGUCACUGUAACCUUCGUUCUAGCCCACGUCAGUUUCCGAAGGCCGCCAAGGAAGCGGUCGAGGAGUUUGUUGAGGUCAUCGCCGUCGGCGGAGAGUGACGAUGCUUCGAGUGACGCGAGUAAAAUCUGAAGGUCUACACGCAUCUCAAAGCAACGCCCACUGGGUGACUAUAGCCUAAUCCAGCCCUCUCUGCUGUAACGGCCCGGCCCGAUCGGGACUGCCAAUCUCCCUUCGUGUCAUCCUCCUCGAUCUCCCCCCUUCGUUCCUCCCUCGGGGCUGACCGGAUCGGCGUUUACUCUUUGGGUUUCUUGAGCUCUCAUCUCGUAUCGCUGCCGACUUGGAUGCCGGGGAGAGCUGGUGGGCGGCGCGGAUUUGCGUGUUGCGGUCUCUGAUGAAGAUCGGAUUCCUUCCAUGGUUUUCUGUGAGGGAGUUCUGCUUGUAAGGAUGAUGCUCGAUCGCCACGGUUUGUCGUGCGAUUCUUGAUUCCUUUGAAGCAGAAAUGAGGAGAACGUCAGAAGAAACAAGAGGAUAAACAAAUUCUCGAGGAGCUUCUGGAUUCCAUUAAGGGGGAAAUAAAGGAGAGAAGGACAGCGUUCGUAUGAAAAGCAAAAGUCCUAUACAUGCCUCUUUGUCUUAAAUCCAAGACCAAGAUUUAUGCAACUCAAUGGAUACAAAUGUACAUUCCAUGUACUGAACGAAGGGCAUGAUUGGGGAGUAGCUCACAAUCGGAUAGCCUGAGGUUAGUCAUGGGUGAUGUCUUAUUGCCGCUGCUAAGCCAUCCUUUAAUGGCCUCACCUUCGUAAGUGAAACCAUCUGCUGCUAUUUGUGGAUCCCUCAUAAGCUCCUGCAGUUUCAUUUUCAACUAAUAAAUCAAAGUUGAAGUGGCAGCUACAAGAGAUGUUUCUGCAUCUUCUUUUAGUUUGAUCACAUUGCACAGAUGGGAAAAUAAUUGUUACAAGUACAGGACUUUGGUAGUAAUGCAUAUGAUUUGGAAUAGGAAGGAAAUGUGCAGGCAGCUAUGUAUUGUUCAAGCAGUAUCUAACACAAAACCAGAGUACCAGAGGAAGAGUCACAACAAUGAACAUGUGUGUGUUGAUGACAAGAAUGUAAGAAGAUGUGAUGUUAUCUGAUUAGGAUAAGAGGUGGGGUUGGUAAGAAGAGACAGGGAACAUUUAGGAUAUAUAUUUAUUUGGAGAAGGAUUGUUAGAACUUGAUGAUGCAUAAAUGAUCUACUAAUGCAAAGUGGACUGCCAAGUAACUGACCUUAAAUAUUGGACAGAUGAAGUAUGAUGGAAUGCACCUGCUGUACUCUGGAGCUAACACAAUCGAUGAAGGCGAUAACCUGGCAAAUGAGAUGGACUUCAUCAAGGGCUGAAGCAUUUUCCAUGCCUCUUUUGCAUCUGGCCGGUUCCUCCUGUUCAUGUCACAGCAUUUCAACCCCAGUUUUGCCAACUUCUCUGCCUGCACAUAUGGCCAGUCCCCUGCAGAAGCAUCAAGUACCCUCUCCAAGCAUUUCAUAUCCAAUGCCUCUUUUACUACUUUGCUUACGCCAAAUGCUGCCCUUCCCGUUAGAAGUUGCAGAAGUAUGACUCCGAAGGAGUACACAUCAGAUUUUGCUGUGAUUUCUCCGGAUGAGAGCAAUUCAGGGUCCAUGUAAGCAAAUGUUCCCUUGCGCAGAUGCAUGCAGUGGUAGAGGGUGCUGCUGCCAAUGGACCGGACAAGCAGUCGGUUCAUGCCCAAGUCACUAAUCUUGCUCACAAAGUUUGAAUCGAGAAGAAUGUUUACAGGCUUAAGAUCACCAUGGACCACACUAAGGGGUUUACGGGAGUGGAGGAAGACGAGAGCGGAGCAUAUUUCAGCUGCAAUGCGGAUGCGGACCUGCCAGGUGAGCUUGCGAGUAAGGUGGUCUUCCAAGCUUCCACUAGGAAGAUACUCGUAAACGAGAGCUCUGGCUUCUGGGCAUGCUCCUAUGAGAGUGACAAGGUCAGUACUUACCUCUCGCCGGAAUUCUGCUGUUCUUUGCAUGCCUUGUGGAUUCAACCUCUUUAUUGCCACUGUCGUAUGGCGAAGGGAGCCUUUAUAUACACAUCCGUAUCCACCUUCGCCGAUCUUUGAUGCCUCCUGGAAGUUUUCUGUUGCUUGUUCCAGCUCCGAAAGGGAGAACUCAGAGAAGUGUUCUGCUCCACGAGUGCUGGUUGUUGCUUCUUCUUUCUUCUGAUGCACUCGCUCCUGCUGCGACAGCUCAUGCUCUCCUCGGAUCGAAUUGAGGUGGCUGUAUGCCUCGGGCAAUUUGGCUUUGAUAUCCUUGAGAAUUUGGUCAGAAUCAGAUAUUUGGAGUUCCAGCGCUGCCAUCUUCUGACGUGCUUGCUGGAGUUCUUCAUUGACCUCAUCUCGCUGUUUUCUCAGUGCUGACAGUUGCAUCUCAUCUUUUGCUACCGCUUCUUCGAUUUCUUUCCUUUGUCUCACCUCUUUGUUGUAUGCAGUCUCGGCGACGUCGACCUGCGCAAUGGUGCCGUGUGAGAUCAGCAUGAAAGUUGUCGUUUGUUGACCUGCAAUGAGAUCUUACCUUCCUCGCAGCCUCGCUCAGGUCCUUCUCAGCUAUCUGACGCUUGUGGAGCUCUUCAUAAGCUUCACGUUUCGUGUUAUCCGCUUCCUUCAGCGCAGCUUCCAGCCGUUCGUACAUGGCACCAUCGACACCAAGAUCCUCCUGCAACACAGAUAUGACGAAUUGUGAGUGUGUAUGUGAGCGUAUGUGUGUGUGUGUGAGAGAGUGAGAGAGAGAGAGAGAGAGAGAGAGAGAGAGAGAGAGAGAGAUGUGUACCAGGUAACGUUGUGGAGAUUGGAACUGAGGGACUUCUCCAGGUGCAGGAAGUGUCCGUAGAACGAGCGAUCCAUCAUCUCUGUCCGCUUCCGGCGGCACUUCCGGCGACGAAGCCAUGUUUCCGUGGAGAGAGUGGUCCGAAGCCCUCGACGCAACAUCCCACGUAUCAUUAACGCUGCUCUCUCCGCUCCCUGAGGUCGAUGAUCCCGCCGGUCCUUCACCAGGCCAAGCCGCCAUGGCCACCUGUGAGUGUGGGGAGCAAUCGGCAGAUCUUGACGUGGGCUUGUGAGCUGCGACUACUUCAUCAACACAGGCAUCCCUGCAAACAAGAUCCAAAAUAAUUCAUCGUUUCAUGGACAACGUGUCUGUAGAACCACAACAACACACUGUAAUUUCUAUCUGAAAGUUCAAGCUGCGUGCCUGGUGCAGAUGAGGUUCCCUUUGCAGACAAACCAGAUCUUGCAUGAUGGAUCAGCCUGCUGCUGCACGGCCAGAGCUGUCUUCGACCUCGGACCCUUCAUUCGCCUGUGAUUCUAAAGCCUUGGCUUAGUCCACGAGUUCCACAAUUUGGCUGCACUCGCUUCUCUUAUCGAUUGUUUUGUUGUUUAGGAAGACAGAUCAAGUUUUGGACUUUGAAUGCAGCCUUUAAUAUAA